RNAcentral lists this long non-coding RNA (1003 nucleotides) under Numida meleagris (helmeted guineafowl). RNAcentral describes it as "lncRNA (ENSNMEG00000000166.1)". The record is from RNAcentral. Lineage: Eukaryota; Metazoa; Chordata; Aves; Galliformes; Numididae.
AGAAAACAGCAAGAAUGGUGACUGGCUGACUGCAGUGCAUCACUGCUGCUCCCUGCAGCGGGCGGGUAAUUGGCCAUGCGUCGCCUAACGUGGUUCAUGUGGUCGUUAAUUACUUCACUCACCAGAUAAGUGAAUGCUUGUAAGCAAUUAGGUCCCAAUUCCAUGAGGAAGGACACACAUGGGGGUUUGCUCACCUUCUUUUUGCCAUGUGCUGUGGGAGUUUGAAAUGUGCAUCUGAACACAUGGCUGUGAGGAGCUCCUAGCAGAAAGAGGUGUGAAGGAAGUUUGGGUCCACUGAAAAACAUCGAUCUCUUCCAUUUCCCAUUUGAUUUGAUGCCAAAAGUAAAAUAGAGAAUGCAAAAGACCUCUGGGGACUUAAAGAAGAAGAAAUGAAAAAGAGAUUGGAAGGAGCAGAGCAGCUCUGGAUCUGCACUGGGGUGUGGGAGUUAUGCCUUGCCUGCAGUCUGCAUUGUACAACUCCAGUUUGGUCUCCUACAGCGCUACGUUCUCUUUCUUCGUGGAGAGACACCAGCAGAUUUGAUGGGGAGAGGCUUUUGAUUUCUAGGAAAGGCCUGGGGAGAAUUCAGGGACUCUCCAGGGCAGCAGGAGCUGUGAUGGGAGGAGCCGGUGCUGCCCAGCCCGGCCCAGAAAUGCACGGGAGGAGCGGGUGUGCAGGGCACGGCGUGGGGCUGGGGGGCUGCAGCUGCUGCAGGGGGGCACGGAGAUAGCACGGGUAGCACUCAGGGAAGAAACGUGGCAGAGACAGGAUGAGGGCUCUGCUGUCUGUAGUCUGAAAACCACCCGGGCUGUCUCAAGAGUCGUGUUCUUGUUUGCUUCUCUUUGCUGCGGAUGGGAGCAGCUCAGGCUUGGCAGGGCAGGGGCCUUGUCGUCUUCCCAUUUUCAGACACUCGAGUACUUCGCACUCUUGGCAGAAGCGACGUGCUGAAGGGGUUCUGCUCUUCGGUUUCCAAUUCUUAUAUUCCCAACGGUGAUUAAACAAGAA